GGUAACUUCGUGGCAGUGGCCGGGGGAAUACGAAGGAUGGUGGCGUUUGCCGGAUUUAUUGGGUUUAAAGGGUGCGUAGGCGGUCUUAGAAGUCAGUGGUGAAAUCCAAUCGCUUAACGAUAGACGUGCCAUUGAUACUGUAGGACUUGAGUACAGAUGCCGUUGGCGGAAUGUGUCAUGUAGCGGUGAAAUGCAUAGAUAUGACACAGAACACCGAUUGCGAAGGCAGCUGACGAAACUGUAACUGACGCUGAUGCACGAAAGCGUGGGGAUCAAACAGGAUUAGAUACCCGAGUAGUC
This 300-nucleotide ribosomal RNA is filed under the name uncultured Chromohalobacter sp. RNAcentral describes it as "bacterial SSU rRNA". It matches the Rfam family "Bacterial small subunit ribosomal RNA", at positions 496 to 795 of the family's 1533-position model. The record is from RNAcentral. Lineage: Bacteria; Pseudomonadati; Pseudomonadota; Gammaproteobacteria; Oceanospirillales; Halomonadaceae.